GAACGAGAAAGCGGGCUUCGGCCCGUCAGUACAGUGGCAGACGGGUGAGUAACACGUGGGUAACCUACCCGGAGGUGGGGGAUAACCCUUCGAAAGGAGGGCUAAUACCGCAUAACGUCUCGUGCAUUUCGAUAAACGAGAUCAAAGCUUGCCUCUACUUGUAAGCUAGCGCCACCGGAGGGGCCCGCGCCCCAUUAGCUUGUUGGUGAGGUAAAGGCUCACCAAGGCGACGAUGGGUAGCCGGCCUGAGAGGGUGAUCGGCCACACUGGAACUGAGACACGGUCCAGACUCCUACGGGAGGCAGCAGUGAGGAAUUUUGCGCAAUGGGCGAAAGCCCGACGCAGCGACGCCGCGUGGAGGACGAAGGCCUUCGGGUCGUAAACUCCUGUCAAGCGGGACGAAAUCGGGGCGGACGAAUAGUCCGUCUCGUUGACGGUACCGCUGGAGGAAGCCCCGGCUAACUCCGUGCCAGCAGCCGCGGUAAUACGGAGGGGGCCAGCGUUGUUCGGAAUUAUUGGGCGUAAAGGGCGCGUAGGCGGCUGUGCAAGUCGGAGGUGAAAUCCCUCGGCUCAACCGAGGAACUGCCUCCGAUACUGCAUAGCUUGAGUC
This 610-nucleotide ribosomal RNA is filed under the name uncultured bacterium. Its description in RNAcentral is "bacterial SSU rRNA". It matches the Rfam family "Bacterial small subunit ribosomal RNA", at positions 64 to 648 of the family's 1533-position model. The record is from RNAcentral.